GUGAGGAGAGCAGAGAAGAAGGUGUAGUUGAGGAGAGGGAGAUGCGGAGGUAGGGGUGAGGAGAGCAGAGAAGAAGGUGUAGUUGAGGAGAGGGAGAGGCAGAGGUAGGGGUGAGGAGAGCAGAGAAGAAGGUGUAGUUGAGGAGAGGGAGAGGCAGAGGUAGGGGUGAGGAGAGCAGAGAAGAAGGUGUAGUUGAGGAGAGGGAGAGGCAGAGGCAGGGGUGAGGACAGCAGAGAAGGUGUAGUUGAGGAGAGGGAGAUGCGGAGGUAGGGGUGAGGAGAGCAGAGAAGAAGGUGUAGUUGAGGAGAGGGAGAUGCGGAGGUAGGGGUGAGGAGAGCAGAGAAGAAGGUGUAGUUGAGGAGAGGGAGAGGCAGAGGUAGGGGUGAGGAGAGCAGAGAAGAAGGUGUAGUUGAGGAGAGGGAGAGGCAGAGGUAGGGGUGAGGAGAAGCAGAGAAGAAGGUGUAGUUGAGGAGAGGGAGAGGCAGAGGUAGGGGUGAGGAGAGCAGAGAAGAAGGUGUAGUUGAGGAGAGGGAGAGGCAGAGGUAGGGGUGAGGAGAGCAGAGAAGAAGGUGUAGUUGAGGAGAGGGAGAUGCGGAGGUAGGGGUGAGGAGAGCAGAGAAGAAGGUGUAGUUGAGGAGAGGGAGAUGCGGAGGUAGGGGUGAGGAGAAGCAGAGAAGAAGGUGUAGUUGAGGAGAGGGAGAGGCAGAGGUAGGGGUGAGGAGAGCAGAGAAGAAGGUGUAGUUGAGGAGAGGGAGAUGCGGAGGUAGGGGUGAGGAGAGCAGAGAAGAAGGUGUAGUUGAGGAGAGGGAGAUGCGGAGGUAGGGGUGAGGAGAAGCAGAGAAGAAGGUGUAGUUGAGGAGAGGGAGAGGCAGAGGUAGGGGUGAGGAGAGCAGAGAAGAAGGUGUAGUUGAGGAGAGGGAGAGGCAGAGGUAGGGGUGAGGACAGCAGAGAAGAAGGUGUAGUUGAGGAGAGGGAGAGGCGGAGGUAGGGGUGAGGAGAGCAGAGAAGAAGGUGUAGUUGAGGAGAGGGAGAUGCGGAGGUAGGGGUGAGGAGAGCAGAGAAGAAGGUGUAGUUGAGGAGAGGGAGAUGCGGAGGUAGGGGUGAGGAGAGCAGAGAAGAAGGUGUAGUUGAGGAGAGGGAGAGGCAGAGGUAGGGGUGAGGACAGCAGAGAAGAAGGUGUAGUUGAGGAGAGGGAGAGGCGGAGGUAGGGGUGAGGAGAGCAGAGAAGAAGGUGUAGUUGAGGAGAGGGAGAUGCGGAGGUAGGGGUGAGGAGAGCAGAGAAGAAGGUGUAGUUGAGGAGAGGGAGAUGCAGAGGUAGGGGUGAGGAGAGCAGAGAAGAAGGUGUAGUUGAGGAGAGGGAGAUGCGGAGGUAGGGGUGAGGAGAAGCAGAGAAGAAGGUGUAGUUGAGGAGAGGGAGAUGCGGAGGUAGGGGUGAGGACAGCAGAGAAGAAGGUGUAGUUGAGGAGAGGGAGAUGCGGAGGUAGGGGUGAGGAGAGCAGAGAAGAAGGUGUAGUUGAGGAGAGGGAGAUGCGGAGGUAGGGGUGAGGAGAGCAGAGAAGAAGGUGUAGUUGAGGAGAGGGAGAUGCGGAGGUAGGGGUGAGGACAGCAGAGAAGAAGGUGUAGUUGAGGAGAGGGAGAUGCGGAGGUAGGGGUGAGGAGAGCAGAGAAGAAGGUGUAGUUGAGGAGAGGGAGAUGCGGAGGUAGGGGUGAGGAGAGCAGAGAAGAAGGUGUAGUUGAGGAGAGGGAGAUGCGGAGGUAGGGGUGAGGAGAGCAGAGAAGAAGGUGUAGUUGAGGAGAGGGAGAUGCGGAGGUAGGGGUGAGGAGAGCAGAGAAGAAGGUGUAGUUGAGGAGAGGGAGAUGCGGAGGUAGGGGUGAGGAGAGCAGAGAAGAAGGUGUAGUUGAGGAGAGGGAGAUGCGGAGGUAGGGGUGAGGAGAAGCAGAGAAGAAGGUGCAGUUGAGGAGAGGGAGAUGCGGAGGUAGGGGUGAGGAGAGCAGAGAAGAAGGUGUAGUUGAGGAGAGGGAGAUGCGGAGGUAGGGGUGAGGAGAGCAGAGAAGAAGGUGUAGUUGAGGAGAGGGAGAUGCGGAGGUAGGGGUGAGGAGAAGCAGAGAAGAAGGUGUAGUUGAGGAGAGGGAGAUGCGGAGGUAGGGGUGAGGAGAGCAGAGAAGAAGGUGUAGUUGAGGAGAGGGAGAUGCGGAGGUAGGGGUGAGGAGAGCAGAGAAGAAGGUGUAGUUGAGGAGAGGGAGAUGCGGAGGUAGGGGUGAGGAGAAGCAGAGAAGAAGGUGUAGUUGAGGAGAGGGAGAUGCGGAGGUAGGGGUGAGGACAGCAGAGAAGAAGGUGUAGUUGAGGAGAGGGAGAUGCGGAGGUAGGGGUGAGGAGAGCAGAGAAGAAGGUGUAGUUGAGGAGAGGGAGAUGCGGAGGUAGGGGUGAGGAGAGCAGAGAAGAAGGUGUAGUUGAGGAGAGGGAGAUGCGGAGGUAGGGGUGAGGACAGCAGAGAAGAAGGUGUAGUUGAGGAGAGGGAGAUGCGGAGGUAGGGGUGAGGAGAGCAGAGAAGAAGGUGUAGUUGAGGAGAGGGAGAUGCGGAGGUAGGGGUGAGGAGAGCAGAUGGAGCUUCUAGUAAGAUUUCCUACACAGGCAUGUCCCUGCAAUAAAACUCAGCUGAUAGACAAUGGUAUUUAAAAUAAAAUAUUUGAGCAGAUAACGGAGUCCCUUCCACCUUCAUCAAAUAACACUCAAAUGUCCUGACAGUGAACUUGUGAAAUUACAUUCAGUGACAGCAUUGGCUGCGAGUGUGAACUAUACUGUAAUUAAGUGGUGUGUCAAAUCAAAUUCUAUUUUUCACAUACACAUGGUUAGCAGAUGUUAAUGAGAGUGUAGAGAAAUUCUUGUGCUUCCAGUUCCGACAAUGCAGUAAUAACCAACGAGUAAUCUGACCUAACAAUUCCACAACUACUAGCCUAUACACAAGUGUAAAGGGAUAAAGAAUAUGUACAUAAAAAUAUAUGAAUGAGUGACGGUGCAGAAUGGCAUAGGCAAGAUGCAGUAGAUGGUAUCGAGUACAGUAUAUACAUAUGAGAUGAGUAACGUAGGGUAUGUAAACAUUAUAUUAAGUGGCAUUGUUUAAAGUGGCCAGUGAUACAUUCUUAACAUGUAUGGCAGCAGCCAGUCAAUGUUAGUGAUGGCUGUUUAACAGUCUGAUGGCCGUGAGAUAGAAGCUGUUUUUCCAGUCUCUCGGUCCCAGCUUUGAUGCACCUGUACUGACCUCGCCUUCUGGAUGAUAGCGGGGUGAACAGGCAGUGGCUCGGGUGGUUGUUGUCCUUGAUGAUCUUUAUGGCCUUCCUGUAACGUCGGGUGGUGUAGGUGUCCUGGUAGAUUGCCCCCGGUGAUGCGUUGUGCAGACCUCACUACCCUCUGGAGAGCCUUACGGUUGUGGACGGAGCAGUUGCCGUACCAGGCGGUGAUACAGCCCGACAGAAUGCUCUCAAUUGUGCAU
Oncorhynchus keta (chum salmon) is the source of this 3491-nucleotide long non-coding RNA. RefSeq lists it as uncharacterized. The transcript has 11 exons. The record is from RefSeq and is a predicted model, not a curated record. Lineage: Eukaryota; Metazoa; Chordata; Actinopteri; Salmoniformes; Salmonidae.